UGAAUUUCAUGGUAAUGCUUUGUUUUUGAGUGCAUACAAGCAUGAUUCCGUCUUUAAUUGUUAAUUGCAUGCUAUAUGAUGUUGCUCAAAUGAACAUGUUUUCACAAAAUAAUUUCUUCACCAAAAGCAAGCGAGAAUGGGGUUUCUCAAGCUCAAAUAGGACAACUGCCUUUGUACCAAAAGCAAGCGAGAAUGGGGUUUCUCCUAUUGAUGCCCGAUACGAAGUGCGAUAUGACCAAAGAACUUGGGGCACAAAUUCUGGCCAAUAACCUUUAGCCUUGUCCAAUCUGGUUUUUAAAGUUUGCUUGAUUAUUUUGUUGACAGCUUCAACUUGUCCAUUAGACUAGGGAUGAGCUGCGGAGGCAAAACAUAAGUUGAUGUUGAACUUAGAGUAGAACAUUCUGAACUUAUUGUUGUCAAACUAUCGCCUAUUGUCGGUGACUAUCGCAUUGGGAAUGCUGAAUCUGGAAAGGAUGUUUUUCCAAACAAAGUCUUCUAUUUUUGCCUCAGUAAUGGUUGCCAAGGGUUCUACUUCGGCCCACUUUGUGAAGUAGUCAACUGCAAUGAUUGCAUAGCGAACUUUGCCCUUCCCUGCAGGCAUUGGGCCGAUCAAAUCAAGUCCCCAUUAGGCGAAGGGCCAAUGACACACCCCGUCCCGAAGGAGGGCGUGCUGGCCGUCACGUGAGAGUGACGUAACCAUUUACACAGUUCGGAAGCUUAAAAAAAAUUUCCAAUUACUAAGAUAACACACCCGAGGGUGAGUCUUACUUUUGUGAAUUCUGUCAGAACACCGUUGGAUUCCUCGUGGCCACCAAAGCUCUGCUAACUUGAACCUGGAGGGGCGCAAAACAAAAUUGAGUGGGUCAGUAAAACAAAGUUUUUCGAAAACUUUUCAUUUAAAAUAUUUCUAACCCCUCACCGUAAAACCUGUAUACUUUCCCAGAAAAUAGUAUAUAUAUAUAACCAUAUAUAAUCUCAAAAUUCAAAUCUCAAUUCUUUAACACUUUUCAAGAAAAACAUGCCAUGCCAUAAAUCAAAAUAUAAAUCAGGUGAAAUAAGGAAUCAAUCGGAGACCCUGCAGUUGGUCCUAUACGAUUAAUUCAAUAGCUCAAUAUCUCACUAAGCCGGAGUCACCACAGUGACCUAUACGGCCCUACUCUGCACAUCACUCGGAACUACGUAAGGUAGUCUAUACGAUGAAAGGUGUAAAAUACGCUCUAGUGCUUCUCUCAUCAUAUCAUUAGCGCGCAUAUCUAAGGUCACCCACUAGUCGGAAUCACGCCUAGUGAUCUGUACGACUAGCAUGUCGGAACCCUCACAUGGUCUUUACGACAUCCACCUACUUGGAUCCAAGGCGAGCGUGCGGUGUGUGUGAAUAAAAUAAGCACUAACACCUAGGGUGCAGGUUAUGAGCUUGAAACAUCUUAUCAACAAUCAAUUAAAUGAAUAAUGAACUCACCUGACUUACCUGUGCCUCCACAGCACCAUGCAACACGUAUGCAUCAUAUAUCGAUUCAUAUAACUCAUAUGAACUUCACAUUUUCAAAUAAUUCUAUGCAUGACAUUUUUAAAGCAUAUUUUCAUAUAAAUUCAUUUUCUGGGAAAAAUCAAUAGUAUAAAGGUAAUACAAAAACAAAACUGCCCACUCACCUGGAGUUCGCCCACAACUCCCUAGUACCGUACAUCAAGGCGUCAUGACGAUUAGCGCCUAGAACAACAAUCAAAUCCAACCUCAGAAAUUCUGUCGAUAGAAUACAUAACUUAUAUAAGACACUUCACUACGUAGUUCGAUCCGGAUGAUCUGCAAUUCAGAUUUCAAAUCCGUAAACUUCCAGAGGUCCACAAUAUACCUCUAGGACAACAUCCUACAAUUUCAUUACCAUCCAACGGUCGGAUCUCCGUCAAUUUCCAAAAACUAAGUGACGGUUAACAUUCUAUUUUAUGAACUUACAACUUCAAUUCCGGAAGAUCCGUAAAAUCGGAUUCCCAAUCCGUAAGUUCCUAUAAUCCUCAAAUAUUGCGUAUUACAACGUAUCAAAGUUUGGCGACGAUCCAACGGUCGGAUCGUCAAUUCACAUUUUCACCUAACCACGAAUCGUAACCAACCUAGGUUCAAUUAUUCAAUUUACGUCCAUCAAUUAACAAAACUGAACCUAGAACCUUAAUCACAUGCUAAUAAUGACAUUGGCGGGCCAUUGGCCACGCGCCGCCGCGCGGGCCGCCGCGGGUUGGCGGUUGGCCGCCCCCGGCUCGCCGGAAAAUUCAACUAUUUCCAAAAAUUACCAAAAUUUUCAGAUUUGAAGAUCUCAAUGAGUAGAACAACUUUAAUACCUGUGGCCAAGGCCAAUUUGGCCUGGAAGUGCUUCAAUUUCACCAAAACCGUGAAGAACCCUAGAAUUUGGGUGUUUCCAAUUCGACCUUCAAACUUGUUCCAACGCUUCAAUUACCUCUUGGGCUUUGUUCUAGGUCCUAAAGUAAUGCUAAUGGUGUUAGUAAUUGAAAGAAAACAUUUCAAAAUUUGGAGAAUUUAAACAAAAGAGUCGCGGCACCCGUAGGGGUGUUCUUCGCGAAAUCACAAUGAAAUUCAAUGAUUCUUGGGGUAAAACGUGAAGAGGGAAGGCAUAGAUGUUGAUUAGAAGUGGUACCUUGACUCAAUUCGUCGGAAAUUUGGACGAAAUCCAUCGAAUUUGGGCGUGGGCACCGCCGGGUCGAAACGACCCACGGGUUCUCCCCAACCCAUUUCCUCUUUUCCUCCGCUUCUCACCCUCUCUCCCUUCCUCCUUUCCCUGUUCCGAUUGGUCAGUUUCUUCCUCUCUCUGCCUCUGAUUCGCUCUCUCUCCUUCUUCUCCGAUUGGGCAGUUUUUGCCCAAUCUCUCUUCUUCUUUUCUGUUUUCUGGUUCUUCCCACGCACACACCCACACAAAACUUUCAUUUUUCUCAUCUCAGCCAUCCAUUUCAAAAUCCUUUAAUCUGGGCCAUCCAAAUUUUAAUAAUAAAAUUCAUAAAAUGUCCAACUUCAAACUUUAAAAUCUUUUUCGUUAUAACUCCAAAUAACGAACCGUCUGCGCCUACGCGUCCGUAACGACGAGUACUACGGGGAUAUGUCAAGAAGACAAAUCUUAGAUGGCACGACACAACGAUUAACCUCGAAUGAUGUGCGUGCCUCAAAGGGCAUUUUUGUAAAAUCCUUUAUUAAAACUUUAAAAAAAUUCUUAAAAUUAGGGACGGGCUGUCACAAUCUACCCACCUUAAAGAAAUUUCGUCCUCGAAAUUUACACAAUCUUUACAAUCCAUCAAUAUCCAUGAAACAGCCCGAAACACGUCUCUCUCAUUCGAUUCUCUGACUUCUAAGUAGCUUCUUCCACUGAAAGAUUCCUCCAUAAACUUUCACCAAACUCUUAGUCUUAUUUCUCAGUACAUCAUCUUUCUAAUACAAGGUAGGCACUGGCUCCUCAUCAUAUGUCAAAUCCAAAUUGACUUCCAAAGGUUGAGGAGGUAUCACUCGUGAAGGAUAUGAGGUCUAAUGUCGAAGUAUCGAAACAUAAAACAUAUCGUGCCCUUUCGUCGACUCUGGAGGCAACUUAGCCUGUACGUAACUUCACUGACUCGUUCGAUGAUUACAGAUGGUCCGACGUAUCUAGGACUUACUUGUUUUUCUUUUUAAAACGAAUCAUACUUUUCCAAGGCGAUAAUUUCAAAAUCCUUCGAUCACCUACAUGUACAUCCGGUCAGUGGCAUGUUUGUCUGCUAAGCUCUUCAGCCGAUCCUGGCUCACUUCCAGGUUAGACUUAAUUACUCGAAUAUUCUGAAUAGCCUCAUGUACUAACUCAGGGCCUUGAAUAUCAUCCAUCCCAAAUUCUAACAACUUCGAAACACAAGACAUAGCUUUCCACGACCUUAUGGCGUUACUCUAGGGAACAAACUGAAGGGACCAACAUACCCAAGAAGUUUAACAGAUCCCAAAUCUCUUUUUCCAUAAAACAAAUAAAUAACUGUUGCGCUUGUCUGGAAAGGUUGAUGUUCUCAUACUGAAGUAACAUACGCUGACGUCACAAGUCGAUCAAUUAUUAUUCAAAUUCCAACCCAACUAUUUUGUAUACGAGGAACCUUGUCCACGAAAUCCGUAGUAAUAUUCUCCCAUUUCCGCCGUGGAAUGGGAAAUGACUACAUUAUUCCAAAAAAACUUAUUUCUUUCUGCUUUAACCUGAUGCCGGAUGAUACGCCUACUAACAUACUUCGCCAUUUCUCUUGUCAUACCCGUCAAUAGUACAUGAACGAAUGGUAUGAUAAAUCUUAGUACUCCCGGGAUGCAUUGUAGAAGUGGAACAAUGUACAUCGUCAAAAUUGCUCUCUUUAAUUCCAUACCAUUAAGCAUAAACACUUUGUUCCCUUGCAUAAGCUUGUCAUCUGAUUCUCUAGCUCUAAGGUCUUUCUUUUUCCCGUUAUUCCUUGCUUAAAUAAAUUCUUGAAUUUCAUCGUCAAACGCUUGAGUCUCGAGUACGAUCUACCAAAUUGGUCCAACUUGGAAAUAAGCAAGUAAGGCUUCUUCUCGAUUUUUUAUUUUUAUUUUUUUUUAUUUAUUUAUUUAUUUUUUUUAUACUCAACUUUACUCCAGUAGAUCUCAAAUCCACAAGAAGAUGAACAUAGCAAGCGUACCAAGCAUUAAUUCUCACUGGGGUCUUCCUACUAAAUGCAUCAGCCACAACAUUAGUUCGACCACCCUCAUUGCACAAUCAUAAUCACUAAGCAACUCAAUCCACCUUUGUUGCCUAAGAUUAAUAUCUCUCCGCGUAAACAUAUAUUGGAGACUCCUUGAUUCGUAACAAUCUUGCACUUUUCUUCCCAUAAAGACAAUGUCUCCAAAUCUUCAAAGCAAAGAUAAUAGCUGCUAAUUCCAAAUCAUAAUUAGGGUAAUUCAUCUCAUGAGAUCUCAAUGGCCAUAAAGCAUAGGCAAUCAUCCAACCAUGUUGCAUCAACACGCAUCCAAGAACAUCCAACGUAGCAUCACUAUAAACCUUAUAAUUACCGCUAUAAUCUGGAAGCGUUAAAACAGGCGUGAGAGUGAGAUAAUACUUCAGCUGCUGAAACCUUGCUCACAAUUUCAUCCACUCAAACCUAACCUCUUUUCUCAUCAAUCUCGCCAAAAGCCAAGCAGUGAUUAAAAUCUUGGACGAACUAUCGACAAUAUCCUGUUAAUCCGAGAAAACUCUGAACCUCAGUCACAGUUCGCAAUUGUUCCAAAUUCUCAAUCGUUGUUACUCUUUUAAGAAUCCACUUGAAUACCUUAAGUAGGAAUAACAUGUCUAAAAAAUGUCACUUGAUUCAUCCAACGUUAGCAUUUGCUAAACUCAGCAUACAUCAACGUUCCCUCAAUCUUUGCAACAUCAAUUUAAAAUAUCUAGCAUGCUCCUCUCUAAUCUUAUCAAUCUCGUCAAUGGCAACAACAACAAACCGGUCUAGAUAUCACUGGAAUACUUCCUUCAGCAAAUUCAUAAAAGUAGUAGGUGCAUUCGUCACUCCGAAUGGCAUCCCAACUUGAAAUGACCAUAACGAGUCCUGAAUUCAGUCUUAUGAACAUCCUCACUGCUAAUCUUCAACUAAUAUCAUUCAGACCUCAAGUCAAUCUCAGAAAGUACCCAGGCGCCUCAGAGCUGAUCAAAUAAUCAUCAAUACACAACAAUGGAUAACAGUUCUCAAUCGUUACUCGAUUCAAUUACCUAAUAUCAAUGCCUAGCCUUAAUGCCCAUUUUCUUCCUCACAAAUAAACCGGAGCUUUUCCACUGUGAUAUAAUAAGUUGAAUGGAACUUUUAACUCAACCUGAACCAAUCUCAAACAUAGGAUUUGUACCUAAAAACAAUUCAAUAAUAAAACCCACAUCUCUGCCUGGCGGCAAUCUAGGUAAGGCAUCUGGGAAAACACCAAGAAAAUGUCUAACCAUCUUUACAUCUUCCAUACUAUUAGGAUCAACAUCAUUUAGCACCAUAUGAACUCAAUAUCUUGGCAGCCUUUUGAUAACAAUCUUCUUUGCUCUCUCAACAGGAAUGAUGGCAUAACUCAUUCCACUUUACUUACCCCCAAAAGUAAUCUUUGGUCAUCCAGGUCGACAAAAAUUAACUGAUUCCCCAUAGCAAUCUAGCUUGGCACAAAUAUACAUUUCCCUUACUCGAGUCACCUUGUCUUUGAGAUCUGGGAUCACUAGUAAAUCUAUCACUUCGCCUCGAACCAGUGGCAGUAGAACCUAAGCUGGGAAAAUUAGCUCUAAUUUCACUUCCUUUGAAGCUCUGAGUCUUUCGAUGUCCUUGAUAUGACGGAUCUUUAACUUUCUCGCCUUUCCUCUAAUUACCAUUCUUUUCUUAUCCUUCUUUACUCUCGUUGAUCAUAUUCUCAAAGUCUUCAAAGCCCAACAACAUCUCGUAAACUCCUGGUAAAAAGCAUAAUGGAUAAUGGUCGCCAAAGAACGCCACUUCUUCUUAUUAUCCAGCCUAAAACAACAUAACACUUCAACCAACUAAGCAACAAUAUCCAAAUGGAAACGAGGCAAAUCUAAAAAUUUUCUAUAAUACUCAUUUGCCAUCAUCUUCCUUGUUUCACCUUUGCAAACUCUUGCUUACUACCAUCAUAAUAUACCGGAGGAAUAAAUCUUUUCUUUAAUAAUUCCUUAAAUAAUUCUCAAUCAGCUGUUUCCUCCGGUGACAACGAAUAAUACUCCUGUUUCCACCAGGAUACAAAUUCAUAACCCACAACCAGGUAGUCGUCUCGACCCACCUGUCAGAAGGAAGAUUCUUUUGACUUGCAUAACCCAAAACGUCUUUUCCAAGUGACUAAGUCAACACUCUGCUCCCUUAGGUUCAUAAUUUCCAUAAAGUGAUUCAACUUCAACUUAUAACCAGUCUCAAAGGGUCCUUUAGAUAAUAGACUGAAUCACAAUGACAAUAGUCUCCCCCCAAACUACUAUAUCAGGGAAAUUAGGCUCAUCCCAACUACGUGGCUCGCUACGAGGCGGUAAAGUUCUGACAGAAGACACUAGGAAAUUCUCAAGAUGUCCAAAAUUGCAACCUAGGCUCUGAUACCAACUGACACACCCCGUCCCGAAGGAGGGCGUGCUGGCCGUCACGUGAGAGUGACGUAACCAUUUACACAGUUCGGAAGCUUAAAAAAAAUUUCCAAUUACUAAGAUAACACACCCGAGGGUGAGUCUUACUUUUGUGAAUUCUGUCAGAACACCGUUGGAUUCCUCGUGGCCACCAAAGCUCUGCUAACUUGAACCUGGAGGGGCGCAAAACAAAAUUGAGUGGGUCAGUAAAACAAAGUUUUUCGAAAACUUUUCAUUUAAAAUAUUUCUAACCCCUCACCGUAAAACCUGUAUACUUUCCCAGAAAAUAGUAUAUAUAUAAACCAUAUAUAUAAUCUCAAAAUUCAAAUCUCAAUUCUUUAACACUUUUCAAGAAAAACAUGUCAUGCCAUAAAUCAAAAUAUAAAUCAGGUGAAAUAAGGAAUCAAUCGGAGACCCUGCAGUUGGUCCUAUACGAUUAAUUCAAUAGCUCAAUAUCUCACUAAGCCGGAGUCACCACAGUGACCUAUACGGCCCUACUCUGCACAUCACUCGGAACUACGUAAGGUAGUCUAUACGAUGAAAGGUGUAAAAUACGCUCUAGUGCUUCUCUCAUCAUAUCAUUAGCGCGCAUAUCUAAGGUCACCCACUAGUCGGAAUCACGCCUAGUGAUCUGUACGACUAGCAUGUCGGAACCCUCACAUGGUCUGUACGACAUCCACCUACUUGGAUCCAAGGCGAGCGUGCGGUGUGGUGAAUAAAAUAAGCACUAACACCUAGGGUGCAGGUUAUGAGCUUGAAACAUCUUAUCAACAAUCAAUUAAAUGAAUAAUGAACUCACCUGACUUACCUGUGCCUCCACAGCACCAUGCAACACGUAUGCAUCAUAUAUCGAUUCAUAUAACUCAUAUGAACUUCACAUUUUCAAAUAAUUCUAUGCAUGACAUUUUUAAAGCAUAUUUUCAUAUAAAUUCAUUUUCUGGGAAAAAUCAAUAGUAUAAAGGUAAUACAAAAACAAAACUGCCCACUCACCUGGAGUUCGCCCACAACUCCCUAGUACCGUACAUCAAGGCGUCAUGACGAUUAGCGCCUAGAACAACAAUCAAAUCCAACCUCAGAAAUUCUGUCGAUAGAAUACAUAACUUAUAUAAGACACUUCACUACGUAGUUCGAUCCGGAUGAUCUGCAAUUCAGAUUUCAAAUCCGUAACUUCCAGAGGUCCACAAUAUACCUCUAGGACAACAUCCUACAAUUUCAUUACCAUCCAACGGUCGGAUCUCCGUCAAUUUCCAAAACUAAGUGACGGUUAACAUUCUAUUUUAUGAACUUACAACUUCAAUUCCGGAAGAUCCGUAAAUCGGAUUCCCAAUCCGUAAGUUCCUAUAAUCCUCAAAUAUUGCGUAUUACAACGUAUCAAAGUUUGGCGACGAUCCAACGGUCGGAUCGUCAAUUCACAUUUUCACCUAACCACGAAUCGUAACCAACCUAGGUUCAAUUAUUCAAUUUACGUCCAUCAAUUAACAAAACUGAACCUAGAACCUUAAUCACAUGCUAAUAAUGACAUUGGCGGGCCA
This 8626-nucleotide long non-coding RNA is filed under the name Malus domestica (apple). Its description in RNAcentral is "long non-coding RNA (MDOM_LNC020272)". The record is from RNAcentral. Lineage: Eukaryota; Viridiplantae; Streptophyta; Magnoliopsida; Rosales; Rosaceae.